RNAcentral lists this ribosomal RNA (460 nucleotides) under uncultured bacterium. RNAcentral's name for it is "partial 16S ribosomal RNA". It matches the Rfam family "Bacterial small subunit ribosomal RNA", at positions 338 to 795 of the family's 1533-position model. The record is from RNAcentral.
CCUACGGGCGGCAGCAGUGAGGAAUAUUGGUCAAUGGACGAGAGUCUGAACCAGCCAAGUCGCGUGAAGGAUGACUGCCCUAUGGGUUGUAAACUUCUUUUAUAUGGGAAUAAAACGUUCCACGUGUGGGAUUUUGUAUGUACCAUAUGAAUAAGGAUCGGCUAACUCCGUGCCAGCAGCCGCGGUAAUACGGAGGAUCCGAGCGUUAUCCGGAUUUAUUGGGUUUAAAGGGAGCGUAGGUGGAUUGUUAAGUCAGUUGUGAAAGUUUGCGGCUCAACCGGAAAAUUGCAGUUGAAACUGGCAGUCUUGAGUACAGUAGAGGUGGGCGGAAUUCGUGGUGUAGCGGUGAAAUGCUUAGAUAUCACGAAGAACUCCGAUUGCGAAGGCAGUUCACUGGACUGCAACUGACACUGAGGCUCGAAAGUGUGGGUAUCAAACAGGAUUAGAUACCCUUGUAGUC